AUCCCUGGGAAGAGAGGACACAUAAGGCCAGCAUCCUCAUCUUUUUCAGAUUUAACAGGCACAACUUGCAUUCAAUGCCACCAGUUGGGAGGUAGAGGCAGGAAGGUUGAGUUAAAGAAAACUGAAGAUUGAACUCAGGGCCUCUGCAUGCCAGGAAAGCACUCAAUCAUGGAACUGCAAUGAAGUGUCUGACCACCAAAUAAGUUUCACACAAGUGGCUGGUGCUGAAUAGCUCCAGCAAUCUUUAUUUAUGUAUCUAAAACAAACAUCUUUUUCAAUACUAACAAACAAGUUCUUCUCAUC
Cricetulus griseus (Chinese hamster) is the source of this 303-nucleotide non-coding RNA. NCBI's taxonomy places the organism in Eukaryota, Metazoa, Chordata, Mammalia, Rodentia, Cricetidae. The record is from RefSeq and is a predicted model, not a curated record.